This is a non-coding RNA of Poecilia reticulata (guppy), 662 nucleotides long. NCBI's taxonomy places the organism in Eukaryota, Metazoa, Chordata, Actinopteri, Cyprinodontiformes, Poeciliidae. The record is from RefSeq and is a predicted model, not a curated record.
AGAGAGAGAGAGAGAGAGAGAGAGAGAGAGAGAGACGAAAGGAGGGAAAGGUUGUAUCUUCUGGGGUGGAGCUUCGUUUCCGUUUAUGCGUACAUUCACACUCUGAAGGUGACAAGCAACUGGACUGUAGCCACAGCUAUCCCAAGGCAGUCUGACAGAGGCGUCAUCGACCCCUCUCGCCCCCACCAGCAGGCAAGGACAGUGAAGCGUCUUGACCAAGGACACAACAACCGUCAAACAGAGUGGUGGGUUCACUGAGAGUGAGAGCCGAGCAGCAAUGGGACAAAAAGUGGGUUGUCUGCUCUUUGGAUUCACUAUAAAGAAUCAGUUUUUAGAGUUGAUUAGCUGGAAAGGGUUUAAAAGGAUCAAGCCCCACCCACCAAGCGAGCAAGGAAGUUUGGAUGAGCACCUGGUUGGUCGCGUGUCUCCGAGCCUCGCUCCCGCUCCUGCUCUAUUGAUGUCACUUUCUGUUUGUUAACCACCUCCUUGUGUUGUUUGGUCUGGGGAUCGUCCUUGGGUUGUAGGGUGAGUGAUCCGGUGAGGCAGGGUGAGGGAAGCGGCCCGAAUCCGACGGCCAACUACUGGCUCGUCUGUGAAUGCUCCCACACUUUUGUUUAUUUUGCCACUAUUCCCCAGUACCUCUAUGUCCAACCUUGGGUUGA